UACGGUGGGGGCAAGCGUUGUUCGGAAUUACUGGGCGUAAAGGGCGCGUAGGCGGCCACCGCAAGUCGACUGUGAAAUCUCCGGGCUUAACUCGGAAAGGUCAGCCGAUACUGCGGGGCUAGAGUGCAGAAGGGGCAACUGGAAUUCUCGGUGUAGCGGUGAAAUGCGUAGAUAUCGAGAGGAACACCUGCGGCGAAGGCGGGUUGCUGGGCUGACACUGACGCUGAUGUGCGAAAGCUAGGGGAGCGAACGGG
This 254-nucleotide ribosomal RNA is filed under the name uncultured bacterium. RNAcentral describes it as "partial 16S ribosomal RNA". It matches the Rfam family "Bacterial small subunit ribosomal RNA", at positions 524 to 776 of the family's 1533-position model. The record is from RNAcentral.